This 790-nucleotide ribosomal RNA is filed under the name uncultured Acidobacteriota bacterium. RNAcentral's name for it is "bacterial SSU rRNA". It matches the Rfam family "Bacterial small subunit ribosomal RNA", at positions 109 to 932 of the family's 1533-position model. The record is from RNAcentral. Lineage: Bacteria; Pseudomonadati; Acidobacteriota.
AGUAACACGUGGAUGAUCUACCUUCUGGUGAGGAAUAACCCUGGGAAACCGGGGCUAAUACCGCAUAAGCUCGAGAGAGGAAAGCAGCAAUGCGCUGAGGGAGGAGUCCGCGGCCGAUUAGCUAGUUGGCAGGGUAAAAGCCUACCAAGGCAGAGAUCGGUAGCCGGCCUGAGAGGGCACACGGCCACACUGGCACUGAAACACGGGCCAGACUCCUACGGGAGGCAGCAGUGGGGAAUCUUGCACAAUGGGGGAAACCCUGAUGCAGCGACGCCGCGUGAGCGAUGAAGCCCUUCGGGGUGUAAAGCUCUUUCGGCAGGGAAGAUGAUGACGGUACCUGCAGAAGCAGCUGCGGCUAACUACGUGCCAGCAGCCGCGGUAAUACGUAGGCAGCAAGCGUUGUUCGGAGUUACUGGGCGUAAAGGGUGUGUAGGCGGUUGUUUAAGUUUGGUGUGAAAUCUCCCGGCUCAACUGGGAGGGUGCGCCGAAUACUGAAUGACUCGAGUGCGGGAGAGGAAAGUGGAAUUCCUGGUGUAGCGGUGAAAUGCGUAGAUAUCAGGAGGAACACCGGUGGUGUAGACGGCUUUCUGGACCGUAACUGACGCUGAAACACGAAAGCGUGGGUAGCAAACAGGAUUAGAUACCCUGGUAGUCCCCGCCCUAAACGAUGCAUAUUUGGUGUGGGCAGUUCAUUCUGUCCGUGCCGGAGCUAACGCGUUAAAUAUGCCGCCUGGGGAGUACAGUCGCAAGGCUGAAACUCAAAGGAAUUGACGGGGGCCCGCACAAGCGG